CCCCACGUGGUCCCGGCGUCCGGGGUAUUGCGAAGGUGGCAAGCGUGGUUCGGUUUUACGUUGCGUACAGGGUGUGUAGGCGGUUUUGUAGGCCGUCUUUUAAAGCUUCGGGCCCAACCCGGAAAGCGCAGAGGGUACUGCCAGGCUAGCGGGUGGGGGAGGAGCGCGGAAUUCCCGGUGUAGCGGUGAAAUGCGUAGAGAUCGGGAGGAAGGCCGGUGGCGAAGGCGGCGCUCUGGAACAUACCUGACGCUGAGACACGAAAGCGUGGGGAGCAAACAGGAUUAGAUACCCCAGUAUUC
This 300-nucleotide ribosomal RNA is filed under the name uncultured bacterium. RNAcentral's name for it is "bacterial SSU rRNA". It matches the Rfam family "Bacterial small subunit ribosomal RNA", at positions 496 to 795 of the family's 1533-position model. The record is from RNAcentral.